AGGACGAACGCUGGCGGCGUGCUUAACACAUGCAAGUCGAGCGGAAAGGCCCUUCGGGGUACUCGAGCGGCGAACGGGUGAGUAACACGUGAGUAAUCUGCCCCUAGCUCUGGGAUAGCUCCGGGAAACCGGGAUUAAUACCGGAUACGACCACCUUAGACAUCUUUUGUGGUGGAAAGAAUUUCGGCUAGGGAUGAGCUCGCGGCCUAUCAGCUUGUUGGUGGGGUAACGGCCUACCAAGGCGACGACGGGUAGCCGGCCUGAGAGGGCGACCGGCCACACUGGGACUGAGACACGGCCCAGACUCCUACGGGAGGCAGCAGUGGGGAAUAUUGCGCAAUGGGCGAAAGCCUGACGCAGCGACGCCGCGUGGGGAUGAAGGCCUUCGGGUUGUAACCCCUUUCAGCAGGGACGAAGCGAAGUGACGGUACCUGCAGAAGAAGCGCCGGCUAACUACGCGCCAGCAGCCGC
RNAcentral lists this ribosomal RNA (471 nucleotides) under uncultured bacterium. RNAcentral's name for it is "SSU rRNA". It matches the Rfam family "Bacterial small subunit ribosomal RNA", at positions 26 to 518 of the family's 1533-position model. The record is from RNAcentral.